GAAGGCAGCAGGCGCGCAAAUUACCCACUCCCGGCACGGGGAGGUAGUGACGAAAAAUAACGAUACGGGACUCAUCCGAGGCCCCGUAAUCGGAAUGAGUACACUUUAAACCCUUUAACGAGUAUCCAUUGGAGGGCAAGUCUGGUGCCAGCAGCCGCGGUAAUUCCAGCUCCAAUAGCGUAUAUUAAAGUUGUUGCGGUUAAAAAGCUCGUAGUUGGAUUUGUGUCCCACGCUGUCGGUUCACCGUUCGUCGGUGUUUAACUGGCAUGCCCGUGUGGACGUCCUGCCGGUGGAUGCGGUCGGCCGCAGACUUCGGUCUGCGCGUCGGCGGUCCGAUGCAAUCCUACCGCGGUGCUCUUCACCGAGUGUCGAGGUGGGCCGGCACGUUUACUUUGAACAAAUUAGAGUGCUCAAAGCAGGCAGUGGUUCGCCUGAAUAUUGUGUGCAUGGAAUAAUGGAAUAGGACCUCGGUUCUAUUUUGUUGGUUUUCGGAACUUGAGGUAAUGAUUAAUAGGGACAAAUGGGGGCAUUCGUAUUGCGACGUUAGAGGUGAAAUUCUUGGAUCGUCGCAAGACGAACCUAAGCGAAAGCAUUUGCCAUAAGUGUUUUCAUUAAUCAAGAACGAAAGUUAGAGGUUCGAAGGCGAUCAGAUACCGCCCUAGUUCUAACCAUAAACGAUGCCAGCUAGCGAUCCGCCGAAGUUCCUCCGAUGACUCGGCGGGCAGCUUCCGGGAAACCAAAGCUUUUGGGUUCCGGGGGAAGUAUGGUUGCAAAGCUGAAACUUAAAGGAAUUGACGGAAGGGCACCACCAGGAGUGGAGCCUGCGGCUUAAUUUGACUCAACACGGGAAACCUCACCAGGCCCGGACACCGGAAGGAUUGACAGAUUGAGAGCUCUUUCUUGAUUCGGUGGGUGGUGGUGCAUGGCCGUUCUUAGUUGGUGGAGCGAUUGUCUG
This 955-nucleotide ribosomal RNA is filed under the name Eurycantha calcarata. RNAcentral's name for it is "SSU rRNA". It matches the Rfam family "Eukaryotic small subunit ribosomal RNA", at positions 421 to 1317 of the family's 1831-position model. Lineage: Eukaryota; Metazoa; Arthropoda; Insecta; Phasmatodea; Phasmatidae. The record is from RNAcentral.